This 301-nucleotide ribosomal RNA is filed under the name uncultured bacterium. Its description in RNAcentral is "partial 16S ribosomal RNA". It matches the Rfam family "Bacterial small subunit ribosomal RNA", at positions 509 to 808 of the family's 1533-position model. The record is from RNAcentral.
CAGUCGCCACGGUAAUACGUAGGUCCCGAGCGUUGUCCGGAUUUAUUGGGCGUAAAGCGAGCGCAGGCGGUUAGAUAAGUCUGAAGUUAAAGGCUGUGGCUUAACCAUAGUACGCUUUGGAAACUGUUUAACUUGAGUGCAAGAGGGGAGAGUGGAAUUCCAUGUGUAGCGGUGAAAUGCGUAGAUAUAUGGAGGAACACCGGUGGCGAAAGCGGCUCUCUGGCUUGUAACUGACGCUGAGGCUCGAAAGCGUGGGGAGCAAACAGGAUUAGAUACCCCUGUAGUCCCUGUCUCUUAUACA